Molecule: ribosomal RNA, 253 nt
Filed under: uncultured bacterium
Lineage: Bacteria
Description: partial 16S ribosomal RNA
Rfam family: Bacterial small subunit ribosomal RNA
Source: RNAcentral
UACGGAGGGGGCUAGCGUUAUUCGGAAUUACUGGGCGUAAAGCGUGCGUAGUCGGCUUUUUAAGUCGGGUGUGAAAUCCCCGGGCUCAACCUGGGAAUUGCAUUCGAUACUGGAUCGCUAGAGUUCGGCAGAGGGAAGUGGAAUUUCUGGUGUAGCGGUGAAAUGCGUAGAUAUCAGAAGGAACAUCAGUGGCGAAAGCGACUUCCUGGACCAGAACUGACGAUCAGGCACGAAAGCGUGGGGAGCAAACAGG